AUUAAAACUUUUCAGCUAGAGUAUGAUAGAGGAAAGCAGAAUUUCUAGUGUAGAGGUGAAAUUCGUAGAUAUUAGAAAGAAUACCAAUUGCGAAGGCAGCUUUCUGGAUCAUUACUGACACUGAGGAACGAAAGCAUGGGUAGCGAAGAGGAUUAGAUACCCUCGUAGUCCAUGCCGUAAACGAUGUGUGUUAGACGUUGGAAAUUUAUUUUCAGUGUCGCAGGGAAACCGAUAAACACACCGCCUGGGGAGUACGACCGCAAGGUUAAAACUCAAAUGAAUUGACGGGGACCCGCACAAGUAGUGGAGCAUGUGGUUUAAUUCGAAGAUACGCGCAGAACCUUACCAACACUUGACAUGUUCGUCGCGACUCUAAGAGAUUAGAGUUUUCGGUUCGGCCGGACGAAACACAGGUGCUGCAUGGCUGUCGUCAGCUCGUGUCGUGAGAUGUUGGGUUAAGUCCCGCAACGAGCGCAACCCUCACUUUUAGUUGCCAUCAUUAAGUUGGGCACUCUGAAAGAACUGCCAGUGAUAAGCUGGAGGAAGGUGGGGAUGACGUCAAGUCCUCAUGGCCCUUACGUGUUGGGCUACACACGUGCUACAAUGGUAUCUACAACAGGAAGCAAGACUGCGAAGUUAAGCAAAUCCCUAAAAGAUACCUCAGUUCGGAUUGCACUCUGCAACUCGAGUGCAUGAAGCUGGAAUUACUAGUAAUCGUGGAUCAGCGUGCCACGGUGAAUGCGUUCCCGGGUCUUGUACACACCGCCCGUCACACCAUGGGAGUUGG
RNAcentral lists this ribosomal RNA (787 nucleotides) under marine metagenome. RNAcentral's name for it is "bacterial SSU rRNA". It matches the Rfam family "Bacterial small subunit ribosomal RNA", at positions 626 to 1414 of the family's 1533-position model. The record is from RNAcentral.